GACGAACGCUUGCGGCGUGCUUAACACAUGCAAGUCGAACGGAAAGGCCCUGCUUUUGUGGGGUGCUCGAGUGGCGAACGGGUGAGUAACACGUGAGUAACCUGCCCUUGACUUUGGGAUAACUUCAGGAAACUGGGGCUAAUACCGGAUAGGAGCUCCUGCUGCAUGGUGGGGGUUGGAAAGUUUCGGCGGUUGGGGAUGGACUCGCGGCUUAUCAGCUUGUUGGUGGGGUAGUGGCUUACCAAGGCUUUGACGGGUAGCCGGCCUGAGAGGGUGACCGGCCACAUUGGGACUGAGAUACGGCCCAGACUCCUACGGGAGGCAGCAGUGGGGAAUAUUGCACAAUGGGCGGAAGCCUGAUGCAGCAACGCCGCGUGCGGGAUGACGGCCUUCGGGUUGUAAACCGCUUUCGCCUGUGACGAAGCGUGAGUGACGGUAAUGGGUAAAGAAGCACCGGCUAACUACGUGCCAGCAGCCGCGGUGAUACGUAGGGUGCGAGCGUUGUCCGGAUUUAUUGGGCGUAAAGGGCUCGUAGGUGGUUGAUCGCGUCGGAAGUGUAAUCUUGGGGCUUAACCCUGAGCGUGCUUUCGAUACGGGUUGACUUGAGGAAGGUAGGGGAGUAUGGAAUUCCUGGUGGAGCGGUGGAAUGCGCAGAUAUCAGGAGGAACACCAGUGGCGAAGGCGGUUCUCUGGGCCUUUCCUGACGCUGAGGAGCGAAAGCGUGGGGAGCGAACAGGCUUAGAUACCCUGGUAGUCCACGCUGUAAACGGUGGGUACUAGGUGUGGGGUCCAUUCCACGGGUUCCGUGCCGUAGCUAACGCUUUAAGUACCCCGCCUGGGGAGUACGGCCGCAAGGCUAAAACUCAAAGGAAUUGACGGGGCCCCGCACAAGCGGCGGAGCAUGCGGAUUAAUUCGAUGCAACGCGUAGAACCUUACCUGGGUUUGACAUGGAUCGGGAGUGCUCAGAGAUGGGUGUGCCUCUUUUGGGGUCGGUUCACAGGUGGUGCAUGCCUGUCGUCAGCUCGUGUCGUGAGAUGUUGGGUUAAGUCCCGCAACGAGCGCAACCCUUGUUCACUGUUGCCAGCACGUUAUGGUGGGGACUCAGUGGAGACCGCCGGGGUCAACUCGGAGGAAGGUGGGGAUGACGUCAAGUCAUCAUGCCCCUUAUGUCCAGGGCUUCACGCAUGCUACAAUGGCUGGUACAGAGAGUGGCGAGCCUGUGAGGGUGAGCGAAUCUCGGAAAGCCGGUCUCAGUUCGGAUUGGGGUCUGCAACUCGACCUCAUGAAGUCGGAGUCGCUAGUAAUCGCAGAUCAGCAACGCUGCGGUGAAUACGUUCCCGGG
This 1343-nucleotide ribosomal RNA is filed under the name uncultured bacterium. RNAcentral's name for it is "16S ribosomal RNA". It matches the Rfam family "Bacterial small subunit ribosomal RNA", at positions 28 to 1378 of the family's 1533-position model. The record is from RNAcentral.